CGUGGGUAACCUGCCCAAGAGAUCGGGAUAACACCUGGAAACAGAUGCUAAUACCGGAUAACAACAGAUGAUGCCUAUCAACUGUUUAAAAGAUGGUUCUGCUAUCACUCUUGGAUGGACCUGCGGUGCAUUAGCUAGUUGGUAGGGUAACGGCCUACCAAGGCGAUGAUGCAUAGCCGAGUUGAGAGACUGAUCGGCCACAUUGGGACUGAGACACGGCCCAAACUCCUACGGGAGGCAGCGGGC
This 246-nucleotide ribosomal RNA is filed under the name uncultured Lactobacillus sp. RNAcentral describes it as "partial 16S ribosomal RNA". It matches the Rfam family "Bacterial small subunit ribosomal RNA", at positions 116 to 354 of the family's 1533-position model. The record is from RNAcentral. Lineage: Bacteria; Bacillati; Bacillota; Bacilli; Lactobacillales; Lactobacillaceae.